CUGAGUUGCAAAACUCCCAACCAUUGUGGAACGUACCUAUCGUUGCUUCGGCGGGGGAGGCCCUCAGCGGCCUCGCGCCCACCCCCUCGGGGGAGGCAGCCCGCCGGAGGCGUCCAAACUAUAAGCAUACAUUUGGCCUCGUCUGAGUAGCCUAUAAAAUAAGUCA
RNAcentral lists this unclassified non-coding RNA (166 nucleotides) under soil metagenome. Its description in RNAcentral is "partial internal transcribed spacer 1". The record is from RNAcentral.